GACAAACGCUGGCGGCGUGCUUAACACAUGCCAGUCGAACGGAAAGGCCCUGCUUUUGUGGGGUGCUCGAGUGGCGAACGGGUGAGUAACACGUGAGUAACCUGCCCUUGACUUUGGGAUAACUUCAGGAAACUGGGGCUAAUACCGGAUAGGAGCUCCUGCUGCAUGGUGGGGGUUGGAAAGUUUCGGCGGUUGGGGAUGGACUCGCGGCUUAUCAGCUUGUUGGUGGGGUAGUGGCUUACCAAGGCUUUGACGGGUAGCCGGCCUGAGAGGGUGACCGGCCACAUUGGGACUGAGAUACGGCCCAGACUCCUACGGGAGGCAGCAGUGGGGAAUAUUGCACAAUGGGCGGAAGCCUGAUGCAGCAACGCCGCGUGCGGGAUGACGGCCUUCGGGUUGUAAACCGCUUUCGCCUGUGACGAAGCGUGAGUGACGGUAAUGGGUAAAGAAGCACCGGCUAACUACGUG
RNAcentral lists this ribosomal RNA (468 nucleotides) under uncultured bacterium. RNAcentral describes it as "partial 16S ribosomal RNA". It matches the Rfam family "Bacterial small subunit ribosomal RNA", at positions 28 to 507 of the family's 1533-position model. The record is from RNAcentral.